This is a long non-coding RNA of Pan troglodytes (chimpanzee), 823 nucleotides long. RefSeq lists it as uncharacterized. NCBI's taxonomy places the organism in Eukaryota, Metazoa, Chordata, Mammalia, Primates, Hominidae. The transcript is spliced from 3 exons. The record is from RefSeq and is a predicted model, not a curated record.
CUAAGGACGAACCGCAGUCGACUUGCGCCAGCCCAGAGGCUGGGGAGGCGUCCGAGCCUCCGUCCCGCCUCGUCGUCGAGAAAGGUGUUCUCUUGCUCUUCCACCUUAUACCAUGGGAUGACGUAGCAAGAAGCCCCUCAAGAGUUAUGAACCCCUUGACCUUGGACUUCCCAGCCUCCAGAACUAGGACAUCAGCAAUGUCUGGAGACAUUUCCAGUUGUCACUACUUGAGAGGAAGCACAAUCUGCCUCUAGAAGGGAGAGACCAGGGAUGCUGCUGCUCAAUAUCCUAUAAUGCACAGAACAGCUUCUACGACAGAGUUAUCCCACCAAAAAUGUCAGUAGUGCCAAGGUUGAGAGAACCUGCUCUAGGGUAAUCAGGGUGGUCUCAAUCUCCCUGUCAGUAACUGAUUCAACUCACAUAAUAAUCUUAUGGGAGUGUGAUGUAAUUCUAGCCAAUAAAAUGCAAUGGGAAGUUGGCUGAGAUACUUCUGAAAAAAUCUUCUCUUACCCCUACAAAGAGACAUUCAUUUUCUGUUGAAAUGCAUUACUUUCCUAAAUAAAAUCAUAUUUACCAACAACGAGAAAAAGAGAAACAUGCAAGAAACCAUCUGUUUGCUGCUAGAUGCCAUUGUGUCUGCAAUGUGAUAUCUGGAACUAUGGCUGUCAUCCUGGAACCAUGAGAGGAGUUAGCUGAAGAAACAGGAGGAUGGCAAAGCGGAAGGAUGGAAGUUACCUGAGGCUGAGGACAUCAGUGCACCUCUGAUUUAACCAAUCCUUGAGACUUCUUGUUAUAUGAGAUAAUAAAUUCUAUUGCUAUUUAA